Molecule: long non-coding RNA, 3359 nt
Filed under: Ananas comosus (pineapple)
Lineage: Eukaryota; Viridiplantae; Streptophyta; Magnoliopsida; Poales; Bromeliaceae
Description: long non-coding RNA (ACOM_LNC038980)
Source: RNAcentral
UAAAUUUCGAACGAAUCAAUGUCAACGUUCACAAGAACCAAAAUCGGAACAACAUUAGGCAACUCAGUUGCGCCAUAACAGUAUAACUUUGCAACGAGUACUUUUUCUCAUUCAAUCGAACAAAGAGUAAAACAUAAUUAUAUUAUUCUAUUCUGCCCCAAGAGCGUACAUUUGCAACGAUUCGAUGUCAACGUUCACAAGAACCAAAGCCGGAACAACAUUAGACUACUCACUUGCGCCCAGCGCCCUAGCAGUAUAACUUUGCAUCGAGUACUUUUUCUCAUUCUAUCGAACAAAGCGUAAAACCUAAUUAUAUUGUUCUAUUAUGGGUAAAUUUUGAACGAAUCGAUACCAAUAUUCACAGAACCAAAACCGGAACAACAUUAGACCUCUCAGUUGCGCCCUAACAGUAUAACUAUGCAACGAGUACAUUUUCUCAUUUAACCGAACAAAGUGGAAAACCUAAUUAUAUUGUUCUAUUAAGCCCCAAGAGUGUAAAGAUGGACGAAUCGAUGUCAACGUUCACAAGAACCCAAAUCGGAACAAUAUUAAGCCCCGCGACCAACCGCCAAUUUGGACCGGGUCGCGGCGCCGCCGACAGACCGCCGAACGGACCGGGAAUUCCCCUGUACGUGGACAGAGUCUCCCCAGUACGUCCAAGGCGUCGCAAUCCAAACAAUCAACGAAUGUUCUAACAAGGAACGGAUAUCAAUCCAGAUUGCAUAAGGAAGUAUCAAAUACAUAAUCUACUUGCUAUUACAAGUAGAUUUAUUUCACAACCACGUUUUACAUCACAGUUUCAGUUUACAUUUUUACUUCCGAAUUACAAUCUCACUAUUACAUCAGAGUUUACGAGUUUGAUACAUUUCUUUUCUUGUCUUCUAGACCCCUAAGCUAGACUGUCUCAGGGUACUGCUACCUCGGUCUCUUUGGUAGGGCGCUAUCUACUGAGCUACGCCCUCGCCUCGCACCGCCGCGUGGCACACGAACGACCUGAAAACCCCAAAACAACGUGGGGUGAGAACCAACUCCAUGGUUCCCAAUGGAUACGGCCACCCAAGGGAAAAGCUCGACCGAUAGGUCCGAGGAGGCACUGCAACAUGUUAGCUCAACAAUAUACAACAAAUAUAUAUAUUCAAUUGAAAUACAUGCCCUGCCUCACAAUAUGCGAUAUGAAAAUCAUGCAAUAACUAAUACAUCAUUUGAAUUCUACUUUUACUUGGCUACUUUAGCUCAUAAUUUUGCAACGAGUACUUUUUCUCAUUCAAUCGAACAAAGAGUAAAACCUAAUUAUCUUGUUCUAUUUUGCCUCGAGAGGGUAAAUUUCGAACGAAUCGAUGUCAACGUUCACAAGAACCAAAAUCGGAACAACAUUAGGCAACUCAGUUGCGCCAUAACAGUAUAACUUUGCAACGAGUACUUUUUCUCAUUCAAUCGAACAAACCGUUAAACCUAAUUAUAUUGUUCUAUUAUGCCCCGAGAGUGUAAAUUUCGAAUGAAUCGAUGUCAACGUUCACAACAACCAAAGCCGGAACAACAUUAGACUUUUCAGUUGAGCCCUAACAGUAUAACUUUGCAACGAGUACUUUUUCUCAUUCAAUCGAACAAAGAGUAAAACCUUAUUAUCUCAUACUAUUUUGCCUCGAGAGGGUAAAUUUCGAACGAAUCGAAGUCAACGUUCACAGGAACCAAAACCGGAACAAUAUUAGAAUACUCAGUUGCGCCCUAACAGUAUAACUUUGCAACGAGUACUUUUUCUCAUUCAAUCGAACAAACAGUUAAACCUAAUUACAUUGUUCUAUUAUGCCCCGAGUGUGUAAAUUUCGAAUGAAUCGAUGUCAACGUUCACAAUAACCAAAGCGGGAACAACAUUAGACUACUUAGUUGCGCCCUAACAGUAUAACUUUGCAACGAGUACUUUUUCUCAUUCAAUCGAACAAAGAGUAAAAGCUAAUUAUCUUGUUCUAUUUUGCUUCGAGAAGGUAAAUUUCAAGCGAAUCGAUGUCAACGUUCACAAGAACCAAAGCCGGAACAACAUUAGACUACUCACUUGCGCCCUAACAGUAUAACUUUGCAUCGAGUACUUUUUCUCAUUCAAUCGAACAAAGAGUAAAACCUAAUUAUCUUAUUCUAUUUUGCUUCGAGAGGGUAAAUUUCGAACGAAUCGAUGUCAACGUUCACAAGAACCAAAAUAGGAACAACAUUAGACUACUAAGUUGCGCCAUAACAGUAUAACUUUGCAACGAGUACUUUUUCUCAUUCAAUCGAGCAAAGUGUAAAACCUAAUUAUAUUGUUCUAUUAAGCCCCAAGAGUGUAAAGAAGGACGAAUCGAUGUCAACGUUCACAAGAACCAAAAUCGGAGCAACAUUAGAAUACUCAGUUGCGCCCUAAGUGUAUAACUUUGCAACGAGUACUUUUUCUCAUUCUAUCGAACGAAGAGCAAAAGCUAAUUAUACUGUUCUAUUAUUCCCCGAGAGCGUAAAUUUGGAACGAAUCGACGUCAACGUUCACAGGAACCAAAACCGGAAUAACAUUACAAUACUCAGUUGUGCCCUAACAGUAUAACUUUGCAACGCGUACUUUUUCUCAUUCAAUCGAACAAACAGUUAAACCUAAUUAUAUUGUUCUAUUAUGCCCCGAGAGUGUAAAUUUCGAAUGAAUCGAUGUCAACGUUCACAAUAACCAAAGCCGGAACAACAUUAGACUACUCAGUUGAGCCCUAACAGUAUAACUUUGCAACGACUACUUCUUCUCAUUCAAUCGAACAAAGAGUAAAACUUAAUUAUCUUGUUCAAUUUUGCCUCGAAAGGGUAAAUUUCGAACGAAUCGAUGUCAACGUUCACAAGAACCAAAAUCGGAACAACAUUAGGCAACUCAGUUGCGCCAUAACAGUAUAACUUUGCAACGAGUACUUUUUCUCAUUCAAUCGAACAAAUCGUUAAACCUUAUAUUGUUCUAUUAUGCCCCGAGAGUGUAAAUUUCGAAUGAAUCGAUGUCAACGUUCACAAUAACCAAAGCCGGAACAACAUUAGACUACUUAGUUGCGCCCUAACAGUAUAACUUUGCAACGAGUACUUUUUCUCAUUCAAUCGAACAAAAAGUAAAACCUAAUUAUCUUGUUCUAUUUUGCUUCGAGAGGGUAAAUUUCGAGCGAAUCGAUGUCAACGUCCAUAAGAACCAAAAUCGGAACAAUAUUAGACUACUCAGAUGCGCCAUAACAGCAUAACUUUGCAACGAGUACUUUUUCUCAUUCAAUCGAACAAACAGUUAAACCUAAUUAUAUUGUUCUAUUAAGCCCCAAGAGUGUAAAGAUGGACGAAUCGAUGUCAACGUUCACAAGAACCAAAAUCGGAACAAC